This 343-nucleotide long non-coding RNA is filed under the name Theobroma cacao (cacao). RNAcentral describes it as "long non-coding RNA (TCAC_LNC000565)". The record is from RNAcentral. Lineage: Eukaryota; Viridiplantae; Streptophyta; Magnoliopsida; Malvales; Malvaceae.
CAUUUGAGUAUGCACAUGACAAGGUUAUGUGGCACAGUCCACACUAACCUGCAAAGCAUUGAUUUGAUAAUUACUCAACUAUAUAAGUUUGGCAUUUGAGUAUGCACAUGAGAAGGUUAUGUGGCACAGUCCACACUAACCUACUUUAGUUGUAAGUACACAACCAAUGUGGGAUUCAUGGUCCACUAUCCUUCGGUUGCAAGUACACAGCCUAUGUCCAAUUCAUUUAAGUACACAAUGUAUGUGGGAUUCAUUUAAGUACACAAUCGAUACGGGAUUCAUGGUCCACUAUCCUUCGGUUGUAAGUACACAACCAAUGUGGGAUUCAUGGUCCGCUGUCCUU